RNAcentral lists this ribosomal RNA (503 nucleotides) under uncultured bacterium. RNAcentral describes it as "partial 16S ribosomal RNA". It matches the Rfam family "Bacterial small subunit ribosomal RNA", at positions 30 to 523 of the family's 1533-position model. The record is from RNAcentral.
AUUGAACGCUGGCGGCAGGCUUAACACAUGCAAGUCGAGUGGAGUGAUGGUGCUUGCACUAUCACUUAGCGGCGGACGGGUGAGUAAUGAUUAGGAAUCUGCCUAUUAGUGGGGGACAACAUCUCGAAAGGGAUGCUAAUACCGCAUACGUCCUACGGGAGAAAGCAGGGGAUCACUUGUGACCUUGCGCUAAUAGAUGAGCCUAAGUCGGAUUAGCUAGUUGGUGGGGUAAAGGCCUACCAAGGCGACGCUUUGUAGCGGGUCUGAGAGGAUGUACCGCCAAGCUGGGACUGGGACACGGCCCAGACUCCUCCGGGGGGAAGCAGUGGGGAAUAUUGGACAAUGGGGGGAACUCUGAUCCAGCCAUGCCGCGUGUGUGAAGAAGGCCUUAUGGUUGUAAAGCACUUUAAGCGAGGAGGAGGCUCUUUUGGUUAAUACCCAAGAUGAGUGGCCGUUACUCGCAGAAUAAGCACCGGCUAACUCUGUGCCAGCAGCCGCCGUAA